Clupea harengus (Atlantic herring) is the source of this 398-nucleotide long non-coding RNA. NCBI's taxonomy places the organism in Eukaryota, Metazoa, Chordata, Actinopteri, Clupeiformes, Clupeidae. The record is from Ensembl.
GUGUGAGUACGGUUUGAAGGUGUAUUGCGUGAGUACGGUUUGAAGGCACAUUGUGUGGGUACGGUUUGAAGGCACAUUGUGUGGGUACGGUUUGAAGGCACAUUGUGUGGGUACAGUUUGAAGGCGCAUUGUGUGAGUACGGUUUGAAGGUGCAUUGUGUGAGUACGGUUUGAAGGCACAUUGCGUGAGUACGGUUUGAAGGCACAUUGCGUGAGUACAGUUUGAAGGUGCAUUGUGUGAGUACGGUUUGAAGGUGUAUUGUGUGAGUACGGUUUGAAGGUGCAUUGUGUGGGUACGGUUUGAAGGCACAUUGUGUGGGUACGGUUUGAAGGCGCAUUGUGUGAGUACGGUUUGAAGGUGUAUUGUGUGAGUACAGUUUGAAGGCUAGGCUACUGUUG